This 397-nucleotide ribosomal RNA is filed under the name uncultured bacterium. RNAcentral's name for it is "partial 16S ribosomal RNA". It matches the Rfam family "Bacterial small subunit ribosomal RNA", at positions 523 to 918 of the family's 1533-position model. The record is from RNAcentral.
AUACGUAGGGAGCGAGCGUUGUCCGGAAUGAUUGGGCGUAAAGGGCGCGUAGGCGGCGCGGUAAGUCUGGAGUGAAAGUCCUGCUUUCAAGGUGGGAAUUGCUUUGGAUACUGCCGCGCUUGAGUGCAGGAGAGGUUAUCGGAAUUCCCGGUGUAGCGGUGAAAUGCGUAGAGAUCGGGAGGAACACCAGUGGCGAAGGCGGGUAACUGGACUGUAACUGACGCUGAGGCGCGAAAGUGUGGGGAGCAAACAGGAUUAGAUACCCUGGUAGUCCACACUGUAAACGAUGAAUGCUAGGUGUAGGGGGUAUCGACCCCUUCUGUGCCGCAGUCAACACAAUAAGCAUUCCGCCUGGGGAGUACGGCCGCAAGGUUGAAACUCAAAUGAAUUGACGGGG